This is a small nucleolar RNA of Tetrahymena thermophila SB210, 55 nucleotides long. It matches the Rfam family "Tetrahymena snoRNA TtnuCD9". NCBI's taxonomy places the organism in Eukaryota, Ciliophora, Oligohymenophorea, Hymenostomatida, Tetrahymenidae. The record is from Rfam.
UAUGAUGAUUUAACAACGCUCGUAUGAUUAUGAUUACAUUUAACUGCAAGCUGAA